Molecule: ribosomal RNA, 690 nt
Filed under: uncultured Acidobacteriota bacterium
Lineage: Bacteria; Pseudomonadati; Acidobacteriota
Description: bacterial SSU rRNA
Rfam family: Bacterial small subunit ribosomal RNA
Source: RNAcentral
GAUCCUGGCUCAGAAUCAACGCUGGCGGCGUGCCUAACACAUGCAAGUCGAACGCGAAAGCCCCGCAAGGGGCAAGUAGAGUGGCAAACGGGUGAGUAACACGUGGGUGACCUGCCUUCGAGCGGGGGAUAACGUCCCGAAAGGGACGCUAAUACCGCAUGACAUCCUGCCUUUGAAGAGGUGGAGAUCAAAGCCGGGGAUCGCAAGACCUGGCACUCGAAGAGGGGCCCGCGCCUGAUUAGCUAGUUGGUGGGGUAACGGCUCACCAAGGCGACGAUCAGUAGCCGGCCUGAGAGGGCGGACGGCCACACUGGGACUGAGACACGGCCCAGACUCCUACGGGAGGCAGCAGUGGGGAAUUGUUCGCAAUGGGCGCAAGCCUGACGACGCAACGCCGCGUGGAGGACGAAGACCUUCGGGUCGUAAACUCCUUUCGAUCGAGACGAAUGGCCUCCGGGUGAACAAUCCGGAGGAGUGACGGUACCGAGAGAAGAAGCCCCGGCUAACUCCGUGCCAGCAGCCGCGGUAAUACGGGGGGGGCAAGCGUUGUUCGGAAUUACUGGGCGUAAAGGGCUCGUAGGCGGCCAACUAAGUCAGACGUGAAAUCCCUCGGCUUAACCGGGGAACUGCGUCUGAUACUGGAUGGCUUGAGAUUGGGAGAGGGAUGCGGAAUUCCAGGUGUAGCGGUGA